RNAcentral lists this ribosomal RNA (253 nucleotides) under uncultured bacterium. RNAcentral's name for it is "partial 16S ribosomal RNA". It matches the Rfam family "Bacterial small subunit ribosomal RNA", at positions 524 to 776 of the family's 1533-position model. The record is from RNAcentral.
UACGUAGGUGGCGAGCGUUGUCCGGAUUUACUGGGCGUAAAGAGCGCGCAGGCGGUCGUACAAGUCGCGUGUGAAAGCCCCUGGCUCAACUGGGGAGGGUCACGCGAUACUGUUCGACUCGAAGGCAGGAGAGGGAAGUGGAAUUCCAGGUGUAGCGGUGAAAUGCGUAGAUAUCUGGAGGAACACCGGUGGCGAAGGCGGCAUCCUGGACCGACACUGACACUGAGGAGCGAAAGCCAGGGGAGCAAACGGG